Molecule: small RNA, 68 nt
Filed under: Salmonella enterica subsp. enterica serovar London
Lineage: Bacteria; Pseudomonadati; Pseudomonadota; Gammaproteobacteria; Enterobacterales; Enterobacteriaceae
Also listed under: 1 other name
Description: partial RtT sRNA
Rfam family: RtT RNA
About the family: This family represents a bacterial cis-regulatory element known as RtT RNA. The exact function of RtT is unknown although it is thought that it may be involved in changing the cellular response in relation to amino acid starvation.
Source: RNAcentral
AGGAUAACGUUGCUUUAGCAACGGCCCGAAGGGCGAGGCGAAGCCGAGUCAUCCUGCACGACCCACCA